This 76-nucleotide transfer RNA is filed under the name Helicobacter pylori 2018. RNAcentral describes it as "tRNA-Gln". It matches the Rfam family "tRNA". Rfam says of the family: Transfer RNA (tRNA) molecules are approximately 80 nucleotides in length. Their secondary structure includes four short double-helical elements and three loops (D, anti-codon, and T loops). The record is from RNAcentral. Lineage: Bacteria; Pseudomonadati; Campylobacterota; Epsilonproteobacteria; Campylobacterales; Helicobacteraceae. RNAcentral also lists the same sequence under 1 other name.
UGGGGUGUCGCCAAGCGGUAAGGCACCAGGUUUUGGUCCUGGCAUUCCGAGGUUCGAAUCCUUGCACCCCAGCCAU